UCCUCCUUAGCUCAGUUGGUAGAGCGCGUCACUUGUAAUGACGAGGUCAGUUGUUCAAGUCGGCUAGGGGGAA
This is a non-coding RNA of Armillaria mellea, 73 nucleotides long. Lineage: Eukaryota; Fungi; Basidiomycota; Agaricomycetes; Agaricales; Physalacriaceae. The record is from the annotation of a GenBank genome assembly.